CUGAACCAUCCGCGGUGAGAGGGAGGGGGUGUAAGAGGAUGGAGCUCUCAUCUAACAGACCAGGAAGGAAGUCUUGGCCAGAUAACAUCUCAUCUCGAUAAAUAAAGAAGUGGCAAUAAUGUAGAUGUAUUGCUUAGCGAUAGGGAAGCAGCAUCCAGAAGAAUUAAACACUGUAGAUGCUAAAAACUCAGACUUGCUCCAAGGUUUAAGUCAAAGGAAAAGUUUGAAUUGAAGACAGGAGGGAGCAGCAGGAUCCUGGCUCUCACAGUCCCGUGUUCAGCACCAGGGUGGAUCCAUGUAUGUCUCUCUUUGGGUUCUCUUUGUUACGAAGGUUCUCUGGGGUUGUGGACUGCAUGCUGGUUAUCCUUUGCUUUAUGUCUAAUAGCUAUUCGUGACUAGUAUUGGUCAACUGGCAGGAUAAAGGCACUUGCUGCCAAGCCUGAUAACUGGAGUUUAAUUCCCAGAACCCACAUGGAAGAAAGAAACAAUCAACUCCUCCAAGUUGACCUCUGACCUCCUUAUGUGCCCUGUGGCAUACACAUGUCCCCAC
RNAcentral lists this long non-coding RNA (550 nucleotides) under Cricetulus griseus (Chinese hamster). Its description in RNAcentral is "lncRNA (ENSCGRG00015041973.1)". The record is from RNAcentral. Lineage: Eukaryota; Metazoa; Chordata; Mammalia; Rodentia; Cricetidae.